UUCAAUGAACUGACUUUGACUCGUAAAAU
RNAcentral lists this non-coding RNA (29 nucleotides) under Mus musculus (house mouse). The record is from RNAcentral. Lineage: Eukaryota; Metazoa; Chordata; Mammalia; Rodentia; Muridae.